Molecule: long non-coding RNA, 1252 nt
Filed under: Parus major (Great Tit)
Lineage: Eukaryota; Metazoa; Chordata; Aves; Passeriformes; Paridae
Description: lncRNA (ENSPMJG00000014735.1)
Source: RNAcentral
GUGUUUUCACCCAAAAUAGAAAAAGCUGACACAGAAAAUAGGCUUUUCUUGGUAGUUUUUCUGAUAAAAAUGGGGACCAGUGUAAAACCCAAGUAGACAAGACACAAAUCAACCCAAGAGCAAGAGAAAGGAUACUUUUCUUUUUCAGGGGGAGAUGCAAAGAAGCUUCAAACAAGGAAAUUACCUGUCUCUGGAUCCUUCUUAUGUCAAGAAAUCAGGUUUUGAUUGUCUGUGGAGAGCAAGGCUUGAUCCACAACAGAGGAUCCUUUGAGCUGUAGUGUUUACCUUGCUGUCUCAAGGCCUAACUGCUUCAUUCUUUGUAAUUUGAUUAUUUGGUCACGCCCUGGAAUGCAAAGUACUGCUCUGAUGUAUUUGUAUAAACCUAGGCUCUUCAAAUACUGCAACGUACAGUACAUUUUGCUGGUGUCUCACAUAGGGGUUUCCACUCAUUCCUUGGGAUGACAGCUGGGGCACACCAAAAACAUCUCCCUGGAGACUUAGACCAAAAUAUCUACUACACUCUCAAUCCUAUUGCAUCUGGAGGAUGCUCAGUGAUCUCUUCUGGCCUUGCUGCAGCUCCAGCUCUCUUCCUGCAGCUCCUUUUUUCCUUCAGAAGAGCUAGGACAAGUGCCAGCUAAGGAAGCAAGACAUAUCUCUGCUAACAGCUGCUCCUUAAAAACUUGCAAAAUCCGAUUGUGUGCAGCUGACUGCAGAGCUGGUAUAUGUGUCAGAAACCUGACAGAAACUAAACCUGAAAAAAUGAGGGUAACAUACUUCUACUUAGAAGAUUUAAAGACGUUACUUUUUUUUUUUUUUUUGGUAGAAUCUCUUUACCAUACCCAAAAUUGGCUAGGGCAAAAGAUCUCUGUUAUUCAGCAUCUAAAUUAAAGGCUGAUAAAUCUGAUUGUUCUGAAGUGUUCUCCUUUAGCCUGCCAAAGUGAUUUCCAGAAAAAAUGAGUAAGACAUUUAUUCUUGUCCUUAUGUAUCAAGUGGAAUGAAAAAAAAAGUGUGAAAACCUAGAAAUUCAUGUUUAUUAUUUCAUUAUGCCUAUGCUUUUUACAACCCUUUUCCCCGCUUAUUCCAAGGCACAUUCCGGGAUGCCACUUGCAUGACUUUUAAGAAAGACCACAUAAAAAUGUCAGACUAGUUUUACAAAAAGCCUAGAGGCAAGUAGCACACUCUUCCUCUCACUUUAAUAAGAUUAAAAGUGGCAAUAACAGUUCAUUAUGUUUUUGAACAAUCUCCAGAAGAA